This 275-nucleotide ribosomal RNA is filed under the name uncultured bacterium. RNAcentral describes it as "partial 16S ribosomal RNA". It matches the Rfam family "Bacterial small subunit ribosomal RNA", at positions 28 to 293 of the family's 1533-position model. The record is from RNAcentral.
GACGAACGCUGGCGGCGUGCCUAACACAUGCAAGUCGAACGGAGAUUAUUAAUGAAGCUUGCGAUUUAAUAAUCUUAGUGGCGGACGGGUGAGUAACGCGUGGGUAACCUUCCUUAUACAGGGGGAUAACAUAUUGAAAAGUAUGCUAAUACCGCAUAAGACCACAGGGUCGCAUGACCUGGUGGUAAAAACUCCGGUGGUAUAAGAUGGACCCGCGUCUGAUUAGCUAGUAGGUGAGGUAGAGGCUCACCUAGGCGACGAUCAGUAGCCGACCU